This 29-nucleotide small RNA is filed under the name Bombyx mori (domestic silkworm). RNAcentral's name for it is "ovarian small RNA-32627". The record is from RNAcentral. Lineage: Eukaryota; Metazoa; Arthropoda; Insecta; Lepidoptera; Bombycidae.
UGAUCCACAUGUGUGCCUUGGGUUGCAAU